AUUGAACGCUGGCGGCAUGCCUUACACAUGCAAGUCGAACGGUAACGGGCCUUCGGGUGCCGACGAGUGGCGAACGGGUGCGUAAUACAUCGGAACGUGCCCGAUCGUGGGGGAUAACGAGGCGAAAGCUUUGCUAAUACCGCAUACGAUCUACGGAUUAAAGCAGGGGACCGCAAGGCCUUGCGCGGACGGAGCGGCCGAUGGCAGAUUAGGUAGUUGGUGGGAUAAAAGCUUACCAAGCCGACGAUCUGUAGCUGGUCUGAGAGGAUGAUCAGCCACACUGGGACUGAGACACGGCCCAGACUCCUACGGGAGGCAGCAGUGGGGAAUUUUGGACAAUGGGCGCAAGCCUGAUCCAGCCAUGCCGCGUGCAGGAUGAAGGCCUUCGGGUUGUAAACUGCUUUUGUACGGAACGAAAAGCCUUCUUUUAAUACAGGAGGGUCAUGACGGUACCGUAAGAAUAAGCACCGGCUAACUACGUG
RNAcentral lists this ribosomal RNA (482 nucleotides) under uncultured bacterium. RNAcentral describes it as "partial 16S ribosomal RNA". It matches the Rfam family "Bacterial small subunit ribosomal RNA", at positions 30 to 507 of the family's 1533-position model. The record is from RNAcentral.